UACGGAGGGAGCUAGCGUUGUUCGGAAUUACUGGGCGUAAAGCGCACGUAGGCGGCUUUGUAAGUUAGGGGUGAAAGCCCGGGGCUCAACUCCGGAAUUGCCUUUAAGACUGCAUCGCUUGAAUCCGGGAGAGGUGAGUGGAAUUCCGAGUGUAGAGGUGAAAUUCGUAGAUAUUCGGAAGAACACCAGUGGCGAAGGCGACUUACUGGACACAUAUUGACGCUGAGGUGCGAAAGCGUGGGGAGCAAACAGG
Molecule: ribosomal RNA, 253 nt
Filed under: uncultured bacterium
Lineage: Bacteria
Description: partial 16S ribosomal RNA
Rfam family: Bacterial small subunit ribosomal RNA
Source: RNAcentral